Musca domestica (house fly) is the source of this 1604-nucleotide long non-coding RNA. RefSeq lists it as uncharacterized. The record is from RefSeq and is a predicted model, not a curated record. Lineage: Eukaryota; Metazoa; Arthropoda; Insecta; Diptera; Muscidae. The transcript has 3 exons.
UGUUCUAGGAAAACGAAAUAAAAUCGCUGUGUUGACCAUUAAGUGGCGUUGCCGGUAUGCUGGCGUUUAGCGCGGCUAUGGCUCGUCGGAUUGGGGGUUGGUUCUUGCCACUUGCAGAUCUUUUCGGUUGAACAAACAAAUAAAAUCAUACCGGACUUCAAACUAAAUCAAAAAGGGGGUAAAAGGAAGCCUGAAACAUGUCAACAAAAAAUUAAAAAGAAAACGUUCACCUAACUACAACCAAAUCCCAAAAUAACAUUAGUUUUUUUUUCACAGAAACAGUGCUCCUGGCGGCUGACCAGCCAGGAGAUAGCCCUCCCUCCGAGAACACCUCUCGCCAUGACGUCUACUCAUACUGGACGUCCCAGAUCUGACCCUUGACUUACCGCAUUUUAUACCAUUACCACCACCUUUUAAAAAGGGCUUUAAGCCAAGGACAUAUUUGUCUUUUCUAUAUAAAAUUGGUACAUUUUAUUUAAACUAUUUAAAUACCCAAAUAACAAUUCGUAAAAAAAUUACAUGCUAACUUUAAUGUUUGCGUUCAAAUUUAACAAUGAAUUCAAUUCAAUGAAUUAAAACAAUUUUGCCAAAAAUUACAAAAAAAUUCUCCUUUUUCUUCUUUUAGACUGCGCUUUCUGAUGACAAAAAUUAGGGUGCAAUAAAGGCAGCUUGCAAUUGUGGUUCUUCCCAACAAGUAUGUACGAAAGGCAAACAAAGGUGGAGUGUCGAUAGCACUUAAAAUCGACGAACGGAUUAAAAGCCUGGUUAUCUAACUUUGAAUAGAGCUCUGUUCAACGUCGUGUACCUGCAGACUAACCAAAAGAAAAAAACCGCGGAAUUUAAUUAUGAUGCUUCGUCGUCCGUCUGUCUGUCCGAGGUUUCGUGUAUUAAAUGUCGAUUGGGAAUACCAAGCCACGCUGGGUUAGCAAUGGCGCAAAAUCAGCGGCUCCCUCGAUGGAUUGGAUGGGCGAUGGUGUGGCUUGUAGGCUCCAAUUCUUCAGGAAUUUUUAGGUUUAAGAUUUAUUUUCUUGGUUUAGAUUUUCAGUUAAUUGUUUUGGUUUUUCUUUUCAAUUUUGUUAAAUUGUUUCCAAAUUUGGUUUAAUUUAAAAAAAAGUUCAAUUUUUCUUUUAAUUUUCAAUUUUUGUGAAAAACUAUUUGUUUUGUUAUAAGUUUUCUUUCAACUUUUAGCCUUUUGUUGUUAAAUGUUGUUAAAUUAUUUUAAGGCUUCCAAUUUUGUAAAAAAAAGUUUGUAUUUCGUGUUGUUUGUAUAUAUGUUUCAAACAAAUAAAAACAUUGAAUUCACUUCUUAACAAGUGGUUCAUCACCAAAAACUUUGUCGGCUUUUUUCUUCGCUGGUUACAGGGAGCCACACAUCCAAUCUUCUUCGCAGGCAAAAUCAAAAAGGAAAGAUUUUUCUUACAAUUUUUGCCAGGAAAUUCUGGCUGCCAUUUUCCUCGCUUAAUUUUUCCAUUUUCUUUUUAUAUUAUUCCCUAAUAUUGACAUUUAAGUAAUUGGAAUAAUCAGCUGUCUCCUAGUAAUGGUUGGCAACAUUUUUCUUCUUCUUCUUCUUCUAGCUAUCAAUUAUUUUCAGGGUUACCCCUUUU